Long non-coding RNA from Peromyscus californicus insignis, 1771 nucleotides. RefSeq lists it as uncharacterized. The record is from RefSeq and is a predicted model, not a curated record. NCBI's taxonomy places the organism in Eukaryota, Metazoa, Chordata, Mammalia, Rodentia, Cricetidae. The transcript is spliced from 3 exons.
UGUGGAGUUCUUUAGAGAUUGCGUGGCCUGCAAGGUGAAGGACUCCAAUGUGAUCACUGCAGAAUCCACCAAAUUCCAAACCACUGGCAGUUCGAGUGCACAAACCCGCUUCUGGAGAGGAAGCAAGAGAAGCAAGCUGGGAGGAGGCCCAUUACUUGGCUGGAGAGCCGGUGGAUCACCUUCUCAGGUCUUCUGGAAGUUGCUGAAACAUGGUGAAGAAGGUGUCAUCACUCAUAGGAUGGAAUCCAGAAGCUCUUAGCAUGGACCUAUGCCUGAAAUAGUUCAGACUGAAGUCCUGGGACCCCAGCUCUGAGUUUGACUGCUCUUUCUCUGCCCUGUACUUCUCUUUUCUUGACUCAGGGAACUAUAAACAGGAACUGCUUUAAUGUGUUUAAUUUUGUCCCCAAAUUAGCCAUGUUUAUCAACAUGUUACUAGAAAUUUAGGAGAGUCCUACCUGAGUACAUGUCACCAGGGGAAUCCAGGGUCUGCUCAUGGAGCUCUUAAGUCCUGUGAAUAACAAAACAGUGUAAGAACGGACUCAAAAGAAGUUCAGGGACGUUUAUUAUUAGCAUUCGACACACAUGCACACAUGCACACACACACACACACACACACACACACACACACACACACACACACGAGAAGGCAAGCUGUAAGACUGUAAAUCUCAGCAGCUUCCCAGAGGUGGAAGAUGGAGGAGAGAAUGCAGCCAUGCAGCUUAAGCAUAGGCAACAUGAAGGGCAGCCAUAUGGCAGACAAACAGCCACAUGGGGGCAGGCUUUAGAGAGAGUGAAGGCCAACGUGUUCAAGAAAGCUGCUCUGGAAAGAGAGUGAGAGAAAAAGAAGUUAUGCUUUCUGAGUAGUUCAGAAAGGCAGGCACUCUCUCAAAGUUGCCUAGCUACAGUUUUAUGAAGAACUGCAUGAGAGUGUAGGAUUCUGGAGAGGAAAAGCACAUUAUCUCAUUAAAGGGAUAAUUGUUCCUCUUAUCUCUUUGAGAGUUAAAGUGGUCUUGCCUUCCCAAGGAAUGGUCCCGUAGCCUGGCGAUUGCCUAGCUGGGAUGUUGGGUAUCCACCCAAGCCACUUUCUGGAUCUGAAGGGAAUAGUGUUUCCUUACUUAGCCUCUUCUACCACUGUAACAAACAGAUUCUGUUCUUAGAGGUUCCCUGAAGUCAGGUCUUAGGGUAGACUGUAAAUGGGGCCAUAUUGUUGGCUAGCAUAGUUCUUACCUUUAGGUUAAAAAUUCACGUCCUUUCUGUCUUCUCAAGUUUGAAUUCAGAUGAUGGUAUACAGGACCCAUGUUGCUUAGCUACCAAAGACAUCAUUAACUGUGGCACUAGCUACAGUUAAAACACGGUCAACCAUGUGCUACACUUGGGGCCCCUGUGAGUUGUUUGAUACAAAUGUUGAACUACAAAGAAACACACACCUCACAUUUUGAGAGUUGGGUUCUCUCUGAUCCUGCAGCUAGAAUGGCAGACAAUGCUUUAAAUAUCAAAAGUGGCUUCCAGAUACUUUGAAUCUUUGGGGCAAGUUUGGGUGGUUUUGCAAUGCUGUUUUCUAAGGUCAAGCAGGAACAGGAAAUCAACGACCUUACCAACUGCUUUGUUCAGGCAUCUGUGGACCUGCCUACUUGGGAAGAGCCAAGGAAAGGGCAUGCUUCUGCAGUGGGGUUUGCAAGUGGGGACAUUUCUGUGUCUGUCCUGUAACUAUGUCUGCCUUACAAUAAAAUACCUUGGUUGACUCAGCAAUAAAGCCUCUGUUGAAUUCCUA